CUCGCGCUGCAGGCGCACCGCGGCUCGUGCCAGAAUGAAGAUGGCUUCCUGUCCCGCUAGCGUCACGUCGGGAUCUGCCUUCACCAAGGCCUUCACUCGCGCCAGAGGCAACCUCGAGAGACGAGCCCCAGGCACACUCGUUGGGGCCUGGGGCUGCGAGGCCGCUGCCUCCCCAGCAGAGCAAUACAAGCAGCUGAGCGUCAGAGAUACAAGCAGCUGAGCGUCAGGGACACAAGAAGCUGGGCAUUGAGGAUACAAGCAGCUGAGCAUCAGGGAUACAAAUGGCUGAGCAGAGAAGCAACUGAGCAUCUAAGACUACAGACAGAUGUGGCUAACUUCAGACAGGGUCCCAGGCCUAAAGAGCAACCAUACUGUGGGACAUUCUCUUCUCAUGGCAGACAGCAGAAGAUCAAGAGGGACGAACCAAAAUAUGCCUUGUCUCAUAACCUUGUGCUUAGAACUGGCACUUUGUCGCUUCCACCCAUGUUCCACGGAUCAAAGCAACAAUUAAGGCCAAGCCCCACAUCAGUGGAGCAGGGGUGCACGUGUCCCUUCAGGGAGAAUGGGCAAGUCACACCAUGGGCAGGGCUGUGUCACCCUAUUACAGGGGGAAACUAGGAGUUGGGAACAACAGUUCUUUCUACCACAGAUUUAGAGUGUACUCUUUUGAGGAACUUGAUGGUAAAAGUAAACAGAGCAGUAACUAAAGGAAGAUAAGAAGCCAACUAUGGCUUCCAUUUUGUUUUAUUUUUCAGGUAGGAGACAUUUGAGUAAGUUUAUAUAUU
Molecule: long non-coding RNA, 785 nt
Filed under: Homo sapiens (human)
Lineage: Eukaryota; Metazoa; Chordata; Mammalia; Primates; Hominidae
Description: HSALNT0034304
Source: RNAcentral